Molecule: ribosomal RNA, 671 nt
Filed under: uncultured Actinomycetes bacterium
Lineage: Bacteria; Bacillati; Actinomycetota; Actinomycetes
Description: bacterial SSU rRNA
Rfam family: Bacterial small subunit ribosomal RNA
Source: RNAcentral
UAGUCCACGCCGUAAACGGUGGGUGCUAGUUGUGGGCCACAUUCCACGUGGUCCGUGACGAAGUUAACACAUUAAGCACCCCGCCUGGGGAGUACGGUCGCAAGACUAAAACUCAAAGGAAUUGACGGGGGCCCGCACAAGCGGCGGAGCAUGCGGAUUAAUUCGAUGCAACGCGAAGAACCUUACCAAGGCUUGACAUAUAGAGGAAACGUGCAGAAAUGUACGCCCCGCAAGGUCUCUAUACAGGUGGUGCAUGGUUGUCGUCAGCUCGUGUCGUGAGAUGUUGGGUUAAGUCCCGCAACGAGCGCAACCCUCGUCCUAUGUUGCCAGCACGUAAUGGUGGGAACUCAUGGGAGACUGCCGGGGUCAACUCGGAGGAAGGUGGGGAUGGCGUCAAAUCAUCAUGCCCCUUAUGUCUUGGGCUUCACGCAUGCUACAAUGGCCAGUACAAAGGGCUGCAAUACCGUAAGGUGGAGCGGAUCCCAAAAAGCUGGUCUCAGUUCGGAUUGAGGUCUGCAACUCGACCUCAUGAAGUCGGAGUCGCUAGUAAUCGCAGAUCAGCAACGCUGCGGUGAAUACGUUCCCGGGCCUUGUACACACCGCCCGUCAAGUCACGAAAGUCGGUAACACCCGAAGCCGGUGGCCUAACCGCAAGGAAGGAGCCGUCGAAG